RNAcentral lists this long non-coding RNA (232 nucleotides) under Marmota monax (woodchuck). Lineage: Eukaryota; Metazoa; Chordata; Mammalia; Rodentia; Sciuridae. The record is from RNAcentral.
CACAUGUCCCUUUGAACCACCUAAACCAAAGACAAAGCACAAGCUGGAUGUACUCUGUGGAAUAUUUUAAAGCCCUUCAAAAAUAUGAAAAGGAGAAGUUUGAAGAGAUGAUUCAACAAAUUAAAGAAACUGGUGCUAACCUAGCCAUUUGCCAGUGGGGCUUUGAUGAUAAAGCAAAUCAUUUACUUCUUCAGAAUAACCUGCCUGCAGUUCAUUGGAUAGGAGGACCUGA